GACGAACGCUGGCGGCGUGCUUAACACAUGCAAGUCGAACGGAAAGGCCCUGCUUUUGUGGGGUGCUCGAGUGGCGAACGGGUGAGUAACACGUGAGUAACCUGCCCUUGACUUUGGGAUAACUUCAGGAAACUGGGGCUAAUACCGGAUAGGAGCUCCUGCUGCAUGGUGGGGGUUGGAAAGUUUCGGCGGUUGGGGAUGGACUCGCGGCUUAUCAGCUUGUUGGUGGGGUAGUGGCUUACCAAGGCUUUGACGGGUAGCCGGCCUGAGAGGGUGACCGGCCACAUUGGGACUGAGAUACGGCCCAGACUCCUACGGGAGGCAGCAGUGGGGAAUGUUGCACAAUGGGCGGAAGCCUGAUGCAGCAACGCCGCGUGCGGGAUGACGGCCUUCGGGUUGUAAACCGCUUUCGCCUGUGACGAAGCGUGAGUGACGGUAAUGGGUAAAGAAGCACCGGCUAACUACGUG
Molecule: ribosomal RNA, 468 nt
Filed under: uncultured bacterium
Lineage: Bacteria
Description: partial 16S ribosomal RNA
Rfam family: Bacterial small subunit ribosomal RNA
Source: RNAcentral